CGAGCUCCUGUAGUGCCACCUACUUGGGGGUCUGAAGUGGGAGGAUCACUUGCACCUGAGAGGUGGAGACCGCAGUGAGCUAAGAUUACACCACUGCACUCCACUCUGUCGCCCAUGACAGAGUGAGGCCCUAUCUCAAAAAAAAAAAAAAAGAAAGAAAAAAUUCUUAGAGGGGGUAUGAAUUCUCUGGAAUUUGCUCAUUAGAUUUUAAGUGAAGAUGACCAGGGUAAAUGCCAUUUGACCCAAAGUGCACUAAAAUAUGAUCCAUCUAAUGCAGAUUCUGGCAAACUUAAUCUAACCAUUAGCAGCUCAUGGAGUUAGAAGUUAUUUUCUGAGAAUCUUAUUGCCAUCUUUUCAUUCUUCCUGAUCUGCAUUAUUCUUACUUUGUGGAACAUGGCAGUAAGCCUGGGACUCUUAGAGAGUCCGCAUCCUUGAAAUGAGCAAAAAGAAUAUUGUUGCGCAUUCCUAUCGGGCUCUUAAGAUUUCUUCCCAACCAUACUGCUUUCUAGGUACCACUGUAGUGCCCUUGUAACCCUUAGAUCUUUUCUUGCUGUGUUCAACACAGAGCCUGGCAUACUAUAACUGUAGCUGGUUUCUCCCAUUUCCUUCUGGAUUCUACAUGGCCCCCUAUUCUAUUUCAUCCUUUUGGGAAUGUGUAACCUUUGAGACAUAUAUUCCUAAACCCACUUUGGUGUAAUCUGGAAACUUUAUGGCAUGCUGUAGUCUGUGACAAUCAGGAUAACCCUGAUUAUACCAGCUUCUAAUCAACUACAUAAAGAGGGUGAACACCAGGGUCACCAACACCUAUUUCCCAACUGCGGUGCACAGCAGCUUUUUAGCUUUGCCGGCACGUGUGUUUGUGCGUGAUUAUUUGUCUCAUGUACUAUUGAAUAAACAUCUUUGUAAGUAAC
This 911-nucleotide long non-coding RNA is filed under the name Pongo abelii (Sumatran orangutan). Its description in RNAcentral is "lincRNA". The record is from RNAcentral. Lineage: Eukaryota; Metazoa; Chordata; Mammalia; Primates; Hominidae.